GCCGAUGUGGCUCAAUGGUAGAGCAGCGCUUUCGUAAAGCGCGGGUUGGAGGUUCGAUUCCUCUCAUCGGCU
Omnitrophica WOR_2 bacterium SM23_72 is the source of this 72-nucleotide non-coding RNA. The record is from Rfam. NCBI's taxonomy places the organism in Bacteria, Pseudomonadati, Candidatus Omnitrophota.